GCUUUCGAUGGUAGUGUAUUGGACUACCAUGGCUCUCACGGGUAACAGGGAAUUAGGGUUCGAUUCUGGAGAAGGAGCCUGAGAAACGGCUACUACAUCUACGGAAGGCAGCAGGCGCGUAAAUUACCCAAUCCUGACUCAGGGAGGUGGUGACAAGAUAUAACAACGAGACUUUAAAUCUCGAUUGUAGUGAGGGUAUUCUAAAUAGAACCUAUAGUACGAUUAGAGGGCAAGUCUGGUGCCAGCAGCCGCGGUAAUUCCAGCUCUAAUAGCGUAUAUUAAAGUUGCUGCAGUUAAAAAGCUCGUAGUUGGAUUUCAAGGAUUGUAUUCUCUUCCGGGUUUACUUCCUACUAGUCAUUUGACUGUUACUGUGAGAAAAUUAGAGUGUUUCAAGCAGGCUUUCGCAAGAAUACAUUAGCAUGGAAUAACGAAUGUAUUUAGAAUCGUGGUUUAAUUCUAAAUUACGAUUAAUAGAGACAGUUGGGGGCAUUAGUAUUUAAUUGUCAGAGGUGAAAUUCUUGGAUUUGUUAAAGACUAACGUAUGCGAAAGCAUUUGCCAAGGAUGUUUUCAUUAAUCAAGGACGAAAGAUAGGGGAUCAAAGACAAUCAGAUACUGUCGUAGUUCCUAUCUAUUAAACUAUGCCGACUAGGGAUUGGGAGUGGGUAUACACCCAUUUCAGUACCCUUAUGAGAAAUCAAAGUCUUUGGGUUCCUGGGGGGAGUAUGGUCGCAAGACUGAAACUUAAAGAAAUUGACGGAAGGGCACCACCAGGAGUGGAGCCUGCGGGCUUAAUUUGACUCAACACGGGGAAACUUACCAGGUCCCAGACGUAGUAAGGAAUUGACAGAUUGAUAGCUCUUUCUUGAUUCUAUGAGUGGUUGGUGCAUGGCCGUUCUUAGUUGGUGGAGUGAUUUGUCUGGUUAAUUCCGAUAACGAACGAGACCUUAACCUGCUAACUAGAUACUUUUAUUCUAUAAAUGUCAUCUUCUUAGAGGGACUAUGUAAUCUAAAUACAUGGAAGUUUGAGGCAAUAACAGGUCAGUGAUGCCCUUAUAUGUCCUGGGCUGCACGCGUGCUACACUGAUGCAUACAACAAGUGCCUAACCAGACAUGGUACGGCAAUCUCGAAUAUGCAUCGUGAUGGGGAUAGAUCUUUGCAAUUAUAGAUCUUGAACGAGGAAUUCCUAGUAAGUGCAAGUCAUCAUCUUGCAUUGAUUAUGUCCCUGCCCUUUGUACACACCGCCCGUCGCUCCUACCGAUACCGGGUGAUCCGGUGAACCUUUUGGACUCAUUGAGAAAGAUAAGUAAACCAUAUCACCUAGAGGAAGGAGAAGUCGUAACAAGGUUUCCGUAGGUGAACCUGCAGAAGGAUCA
This 1375-nucleotide ribosomal RNA is filed under the name uncultured rumen protozoa. RNAcentral's name for it is "SSU rRNA". It matches the Rfam family "Eukaryotic small subunit ribosomal RNA", at positions 318 to 1828 of the family's 1831-position model. The record is from RNAcentral.